Non-coding RNA from Meleagris gallopavo (turkey), 881 nucleotides. The record is from RefSeq and is a predicted model, not a curated record. Lineage: Eukaryota; Metazoa; Chordata; Aves; Galliformes; Phasianidae.
AAUAUAACCUUUCCUUCUCCCUCUGCAGAGUUGAAAGAUCUACAGAUCAAGUCAUCAAGCCAGUCAAUGUGGAAGCGCUGUCAAAGUGGGUCGGGAAGAUCCCUGCUGAUGUUCUGCAGGACAUGCCAGUGAUUGCACCCAUGCUAGCAAAACUGGGCUAUGAUCCGUAUGCCAACCCACCAAACUAUGGGAAACCAGAUCAAAAAGUUGUGGAAAAUACCAGAAGGGUCUUUAAAGGUGAAUUUCAGCUUCCUGACUUUCUUAAAGAAGUGCCACAGCCAAAGAAGACAGUAGAAAGGAGGUCUCGUGGCAAGAUAAAAUGAACAUGGAUCAGUGAAGUCAAAUAGCUAUAGUACUGAACCCAUGGAAUAGAAGAUGCAAUGGAUAUUUCUUGCACAGAAGAAGAAGACUGCUGCCUUCUCAAUGGAAGUGAUGUUACAAGGACUGUCCCACUGAGAUCAAUGAGGUGUACUGCUCAUGGCCUGCUUUUCUCACAGUUCUCUCUCCAUUACUUUCAUGCUCUUUUCUUUUUGUUCAAGGUUUUGUUGUUGUGAGCGCAUGCAAACCUGUUAAAAAAAAAAAAAUACUAAAAAAGUCACUGUUAAAUGUAGAACCGUAUUACAUGUAAACAACUACUUCUGAGGUUUUCAGAAAUGCAGAACAAUGCCUGUGUAUGAAAUUGCUCUUCUGUCGUCUCAAUCCCAAGCCUCCAUCCUCAAGGGUCUUUUAUUUUAUUUUUUUCUCCCUUUAGCAGUUUGGUUUUCAGUGUAUGAAACUUUCAGAGGAGUGGUCUGUGCUUGUCCUAAACGGUUUUUGGUGGAACAGUUUUGUUUUAUCAACAUGUGGAAAUGGUUUAAAUAUCUUUUAUUUAAAAAAACAAC